This 466-nucleotide long non-coding RNA is filed under the name Nicotiana tabacum (common tobacco). RNAcentral's name for it is "long non-coding RNA (NTAB_LNC003371)". The record is from RNAcentral. Lineage: Eukaryota; Viridiplantae; Streptophyta; Magnoliopsida; Solanales; Solanaceae.
GCAGGUUAAUGCAAUUUAUAUAUACAUUGUUACAAACAAAUACAUAAAGUUAACCCAAAAUGACAGAGAAAGUAAACGAGUAAAAAAAAAAAAAAGGAAGACUAGAGCUACUGGGGUCAGUGUCACCCGUUUCCUCUUACACAGUUCUAUUUAACGACGUCGUUUUAUCUCCAGAUACUCAAAUUUUCUCUUAAACCCUACUCCCAUUCCGAACAAAACAAUGGCUCUCUUCAGAGCUCGAAUUGCUUCUUCUUCUCUUCUCAGCAAUGUCAUCCACCGCUCUUUCUCUAUCAGUAAACUUCUCUAUAUUCAUUUUCAUCUCUCUCUAAAUCAAUACAAAAACUCUACAAUUUAACCCUUUUUUUUUCUUUUUUUUAUUACAAUUGACAGGUCCAUUUGAAGCAUUGGCGUCCAAAAUGAAACCGUCAAAGGAGCUGGAAUCUAUGAUGAGCCAAUUCAGUCUAGA